This 329-nucleotide ribosomal RNA is filed under the name uncultured eukaryote. Its description in RNAcentral is "partial 18S ribosomal RNA". It matches the Rfam family "Eukaryotic small subunit ribosomal RNA", at positions 1470 to 1796 of the family's 1831-position model. The record is from RNAcentral.
CCCUUAGAUGUUCUGGGCCGCAUGCGCGCUACAAUGAUGAAUUCAACGAGUUUAUAACCUUGGUUGAAAAGCCUGGGUAAUCUUUUGAACUUUCGUCGUGAUGGGGCUAGACCCUUGCAAUUAUUGGUCUCCAACGAGGAAUUCCUAGUAAACGCAAGUCAUCAGCUUGCAUUGAUUACGUCCCUGCCCUUUGUACACACCGCCCGUCGCACCUACCGAUUGAAUGGUCCGGUGAAAUCUUCGGAUUGAGACUUUGAUUUCUUCACGGAAAACGCUGUUUUAAAAAGUUGAUUAAACCUUACCAUUUAGAGGAAGGUGAAGUCGUAACA